RNAcentral lists this transfer RNA (78 nucleotides) under Marmota monax (woodchuck). RNAcentral describes it as "tRNA.Ala". The record is from RNAcentral. Lineage: Eukaryota; Metazoa; Chordata; Mammalia; Rodentia; Sciuridae.
UGGGGUGUGGCUCGGUGGCAGAGCACUCGCCUAGCACUAGCACGCGUGAGUCACUGGAUUCGAUCCUCAGCACCACAU